This 477-nucleotide ribosomal RNA is filed under the name Triticum aestivum (bread wheat). RNAcentral describes it as "partial small subunit ribosomal RNA". Lineage: Eukaryota; Viridiplantae; Streptophyta; Magnoliopsida; Poales; Poaceae. The record is from RNAcentral.
AUGGGCAACCUGGUGUCGGCGAGCGCGGGCGGCGGCAAGAUCGUGCUGCCGGACGGGAGCGUCAGGGCGCUGUGCGAGCCCGUGUCCGUGGCCGAGCUCAUGGUGGAGCACCCGCGCCACUUCGUCGUGGACGCGCGCCUCGCGGUGGCCAGCGUCGACAAGGUCGCCGCGCUGCCGGCCGACCACCUGCUGGACGGUGCCGGGGUGUACGUCGUGCUCCCGGCCACCCAGGGCAGGGUCUCCGCCGACGAGGCCCGGCGAGCGCUCACGGCAUCGCGGCUGCUUGCGCGGUGCCGGUCGAUGCCGGUCAGCGCACAGGAGCAGCGGGACGAGGCUGCGCCGUUGCUUGGCGGGCCCGGCGACCACCAGCCGGAGUUCCUGAGCCAGGAACUGACGCGCGGCGGGCCUUGGAAGCCCAGCUUGAGGACGAUCGAAGAGCGCGUGCUGCCGAGGAAGGUGCCUCACUGGCUCUUCUGA